GUGGCUCCUCCAGCUGCCGUCAAGCUUCAAAUGACUAUAGCCCUACAGCCUCCGACUGCAUUUUAACUCCAACCUCCGAAGAGAUUCUGAGCCAGAACCACCCAGCUAAGCCAUUGCUGAAUCCUUGACCAGCAGAGACGAUGUUCGGUGGAACGACAUGGACACGAAAGCCUUGCAGCACUCUCUGUUCUCCUGUCCCUGAGGUACACUGACACCUGAGCAGCCAAAGCCUUGGUCAGGUCCCAGGUGACACCGAUGCUGGCUCUCUGGGGACUACGCUCUCGUCUCCAAUGACAAGACAGCCAAUGACAAGGGGAGCCCACUAGGUGACACACGCUGCUCACACACCCAGAGUCUUCACGCUUUUUAAUUCCUCCCUCUAAAAUAUGAACAGAAGCCAAGGAUCGCCAAAAUGGAGAAAACCUCCACUAUGAAAGAAAGUGACACAAAAACAAAUACGUACAGAGUAAAGAAAUGUAGAUCAAUGAAAGAUAAUGAAGAGACCAGAAAAAAAAAAUCUCUGAAACGGUUAGAAUUCAUAUCCCUCAAGAGAAAAGCUACUGCAUCUGUUGAAACAAAUCAAGGCUGGUGAAAAGGAGACAAUCAAAUAACAAGAGCUCAUAGAACUAAAUAUAUAAUAGCCCAAAUGAAAAUUUCAGUGAGGGAUGGGAUGAUAAAGUCACAGAAAUACUACAAGUAGAAGAGAAAGAAAUGAAAAGAAAAGAGGAAAGAAAAGAAAAGGAAAAAGAUAAGAAAUGACCCUAGAGGCCCAACAGCUACCUCUAAUCCAGAGAGUUAAAACAAGGGGUGCAUGGUUGGGGAAAAGGAGGAAAUUACACAGAAAUUAUUCAGAACUGAUUAUGAGUUUUAGAUGAAAAGGGAGGGACCCCAGGAAGUCAAUCAUAGUGACAGUGGUGGGAGAUAAACCAAGGCAAAUCAUUUAAAAAUUCUAGAACACCAGGGUUAAGAAAAGAUCUUAAAGCUUCUAGUGCUUAUUUCUCUCAAGUUCACAUUCACUGAAACAGGAAUGAAACGGCUCCAGGCUUACCAACAGUAAUGUUAGAUACUGGGAGACAAUGAGAAAUGUCAUCAAAAUCCUAAGAGGACUCAAACAUUUAUCUCUUAUCCAUACUUUCUUGGGAAAGUAUCAAAAAAUACACAUACCAGCAGAAAUAGGAAAUGAACUAAGAAAUAAGAAGUCACUGAAUCAAAGAAGCAAGAGACCAUAGGAGAAUGGUGAUCGGAAGUCCCAGAAAGUGGGAGAAGGAAAGUCGAAGGCCAACAUCUGUGGCCAGAGGUAUCUGGAAGUUCUCCAGAACACAAACAAACAGAAAAAAGAAUUUCCACAAUGGAGGUUCCAGUUGACAUUCCCCUUAGUAAUAGAGAGUUCUAGUUGUUCCACAUCCCUGCUAACACUUGAUAUUAUCAAUUUUUGGUUUUGUGGGGGGUUUUUGUUUUGUUUCUUAGCCAGCUGGUGGAUGUGUACUGGUAUCUCAUCAUGGCUUUAUUUGAAUUUCUCUGAUGACUGAUGAUGUUUGGCACCUUCUCAUUUAUUUAUCAAUCAUUUAGAUACCUUCUUUUUUGCCUGUUCAAGCCUUUUGCCUAUCUUAUAAAUGUUGUUGUCUUUUUUUUUUUUAAUAAUCUGUAGGACUUCUUUUAUAUAUUUUGGAUAUGAGUCCUCUGUCAGGCUUGUCUUUAUACUCUGUUUAAGGUGUCUUUUGAAGAAUAGAAGUUUUUUUAUAAAGUACAAAUCAUCAGUCUUUUCCUUUAGGAUGAGUACUUUUCAAUGUCUUAUUAAUUUUGGAGUUUUUAUCCCCAAUUGGGAUUAUUCUGUACAUACCUUUCAUAGCAUUUUAAAAAUUUAACAAUAUAUUACAAAGCAUUUAACCUCAUAUUUCUUCAAGAACACUAUUUAAAAUGGCUGCACAGUAUGCCACUGUAUGGCUAUGUCAUCCCUUAUGGAACUCAACAUUUACUCUUGUGUAUUUAGAUUGAUCUAGAACAUUAUUUAAAUAAAAUUACAAAGUUAGGGAGUGUAUUACAAAUUAGAAAUUUGAGAUUUUAAAUCCAAGUUUGGCUAAUUCUAAUCUUCAUUACCCAGUGAGUACAUAUGGAGCACCUAAUGUUUCUUUAGCAUUAUCCUAGAGGAUACAAAAGAAAUUACGAGAGGAGACCUGUCCCUAAGGAGCUGACAAUAUAUUUCAUGGCCAGACACUUCAUUGCUAAUUGUUUAGCAAUUAAGGAAUAAUUGGUAAGGCACCACUCUAGGUUUAAAGUAAGGGUAAACAUUGAUUCAUUGUAGGAAAUAAAAACAGAUCAUUAGGAUGAAACUGCAUUGGUGAAGACUUUGACAUGAGGAUUUUGGAUUUGAUUCCACUGGCAAUAGGUUCACUGUAGAAGUAGGGGAGGAGAUGUAACGGGGAUGCAGUUGGGAGCCAAGCCAUCAAAUUGCAGUUUCAUGAAGCUUCUUCAGGUUAGUGGUGGGGUGGGGAGAGUGGAGUCGGAAGGAUAGAUUUAAGUUUAUAGGAAUAAUCCAAGGGCCGGGUGAUGUUAUCUUAAAAAUUUGCAACUAAUACAAUUUUUUUAAAAGAUUUUCUCCAUUUAUUCAUUCAUGAGAGACAGACGGAGAGAGAGAGAGAGCGAGGAGAAGGAAGCAGAGACACAGGCAGAGGGAGAAGCAGGCCCCA
Long non-coding RNA from Canis lupus familiaris (dog), 2687 nucleotides. RefSeq lists it as uncharacterized. Lineage: Eukaryota; Metazoa; Chordata; Mammalia; Carnivora; Canidae. The transcript is spliced from 4 exons. The record is from RefSeq and is a predicted model, not a curated record.